Molecule: long non-coding RNA, 1155 nt
Filed under: Balaenoptera musculus (blue whale)
Lineage: Eukaryota; Metazoa; Chordata; Mammalia; Artiodactyla; Balaenopteridae
Description: lncRNA (ENSBMSG00010001157.1)
Source: RNAcentral
CCAAAGUCUUGGACUUUCGAGGGAUCUCAAAGAUGAGGAUGCGUUGUAUUGGAGGAUCACCCACUGUCUUCCGGGGGCUUCAGGACCCAAGGCACAUUUCUGACAUUCUUAGAUUCUGGAGAUCUCGAACUCUCCUUUUAGCCAAGUCUGUCCACGAACUCCCUCCCCGGCCUGCUAGCAAGUCAGAGGCGCUCGAUUCAACGAAGGCUUCGGCAGGUCCGAUGAGAAAGGAGUAGUUUACCUCCUCUCCAUCUUGGGGAGCAGGACAAAGGAGUGACCCAAACACACCCCUAACAGCCCAGCACUAGGUCCUGCGCCCGCUGCAGACCCAACCCCAGCCCCUUGCCCUGCUCUUGCCCAAAGCUCCGGGUCCUGACCCCGCGCUCCAGACUAAGAGCUGGGCUGGCCGCGCAGCAAGCCUCCCCCGCGCGCUGCUGACUCAACCCGGGGAAGAGAAACCUCCCGGUUUUUUCCGACCUGUCGUCGGGCGCCCGCGUCCUGCCCCGCCCACCAUCCAAGCCCCCGCCCCGCCUAAAGUUGCCCUGGUUUGCGCCCGCGGGACGCGUCGGCGUGACUCCCCGGGGUGUGGCCAGAGGACUUGGGCAACGCCUUCCCGAAAAGCGGCCCCCUCCGCAGCCCGGAAAAUCAAGACCCCGCGCGGCGGCGACCGGACAUGCUCACUGGCGCGGGUCGGGGCCUCAGCCCCGGCAGGAAGCGCCCGCGCUAGGCGGUCCCCCGUGCUGCCAGCUGGAGUCGGGCGGAGCCGGCGCUCCAGCGCAGGGUGGCUCUGCCAGUCCCCGCGCGCCUGGGCGGCCGCACACGUAUCCAAGCGUCACGUCCGCGCGCGCCCCCGGGGCUUGCGUCAGCUGCCGCUCCAGGAGCGAGUGGGCCGUGGUUCUGCGCACCGCUCGGCUUCGGGUCCGCGACGCCUCCGGGAGGAGGAGUCUGGGGGCGCGGAGGGGUGUUCGGAGCGCCGGGGACCGCGGAGAUCGUCAGCGCGGUUCGGCCCCCCCCCCCCCACGCCUGCCCGGCGCCGACCGCCUCCGCUGCUCGGUCCCGGGCUGGGCGCGGUGGCGUUGCCCAGGAGCCCGCCGCCCGCGGGGCGCGCACCGCCUUGACCCCGGCGGCCCCGCGGCAGGCAGGCGCCCGCAGUUC